GAUGAACGCUCGCGGCAGGCCUAACACAUGCAAGUCGAGGGAGAGGUUACCUUCGGGUAACCAAAACCGGCGCACGGGUGCGUAACGCGUAUACAAUCUGCCUUUCACAUAGGGAUAGCCCGAAGAAAUUUGGAUUAAUACCUAAUGGUAUAUAAGAGCGGCAUCGUUUUUAUAUUAAAGCUACGGCGGUGAAAGAUGAGUAUGCGUUCUAUUAGCUAGUUGGAGAGGUAACGGCUCCCCAAGGCGACGAUAGAUAGGGGUUCUGAGAGGGAUGUCCCCCACACUGGUACUGAGAUACGGACCAGACUCCUACGGGAGGCAGCAGUGAGGAAUAUUGGACAAUGGUCGGAAGACUGAUCCAGCCAUGCCGCGUGCAGGAUGAAGGUCCUAUGGAUUGUAAACUGCUUUUGUAAGGGAAGAAUAAGGAGUACGUGUACUUUGAUGACGGUACCUUACGAAUAAGCAUCGGCUAACUCCGUG
Molecule: ribosomal RNA, 480 nt
Filed under: uncultured bacterium
Lineage: Bacteria
Description: partial 16S ribosomal RNA
Rfam family: Bacterial small subunit ribosomal RNA
Source: RNAcentral